UACGUAGGCAGCGAGCGUUGUUCGGAGUUACUGGGCGUAAAGCGUGCGUAGGCGGCGGCCCAAGUCUGGUGUGAAAUCUCCCGGCUUAACCGGGAGGGUGCGCUAGAAACUGGGUUGCUGGAGUACCGGAGAGGCAGGCGGAAUUCCUGGUGUAGCGGUGAAAUGCGUAGAUAUCGGGAGGAACACCAGUGGCGAAGGCGACUACCUGGCCUGUUCUUGACGCUGAGGCGCGAAAGCUAGGGGAGCAAACGGG
RNAcentral lists this ribosomal RNA (253 nucleotides) under uncultured bacterium. RNAcentral's name for it is "partial 16S ribosomal RNA". It matches the Rfam family "Bacterial small subunit ribosomal RNA", at positions 524 to 776 of the family's 1533-position model. The record is from RNAcentral.